Suricata suricatta (meerkat) is the source of this 881-nucleotide long non-coding RNA. RefSeq lists it as uncharacterized. The transcript is spliced from 3 exons. The record is from RefSeq and is a predicted model, not a curated record. Lineage: Eukaryota; Metazoa; Chordata; Mammalia; Carnivora; Herpestidae.
GCCUAACUUCUUGGAAGAAUGUGUGGGGAGUUUUGCCGGGGCCAGGCCAGGCCACGGCCUGUGACAGGAAAAGGCCCCGCGGUUGGGGUCAGAGACCCGGGGCAACGCGGUCCUGAGCCCUAGGCAGGCCUCGCCCCCUCUGGCUUCGGUCUCUUCCCGCGUCACACAAGACGCUGGCCUCUUGGGAAGCCAGUUCCCCUCGGAAUCCGGUCUCCGGGUGCUUGGCCCGUGGUGCUGAAGACGGAGAAAGCCAUGCCUCCCAAGAAACACCAGUGCCAGGCAAACCAGGAUGGCUGGUCUCCCACUUGGAUAAAAGCUGGGCACCCAGAGGGACCUGACAUCAGUCGCACACGCAGUGGCUCAGAACUGGGUGCAAGCAGGCACAGCCCCGGCCUUGGAAUCCUUCCUCCCCAGACCCAGCCUCUCAUGCUCUCCAAAAUGACGCCUAGGACACCGGCAACUUCUGCGACAGAAAGCACAGACCCCAGCUUCGUCGAUUUUGGAUGAGUAGACUCUGGAAUGGUGUCAACCAGAGACACUGUGGAAGCACCUCGGUCCCUAGAGGUUGUUGUGGCCAGGCCUGGAAGGGACUCGAUUGUCUCUGGGCGGCCCCUCCCGGAAACCACUGCCGUGUGGUUACCUCAUUUGCUCUUAUUUUUUUCCUCUUUUAAACAACCUUAUUAAAGAUGACUUAACUGCAAAGUGAAACCAUCCCCAGGCUCCUAAGUGAGAUGUGACUCCGUCCGUGAGUGCAGGGUGGCCUGUGCGCGGACACGCUCUGCCAGGAUGUCUGUCCUGUGUGGGGCCGUAACAGGUCACCCGGACCUGGGACACCUCCUCCAGCAUCGGCCUCAUCGCAUAAAGUGUCAGGGAUGCUCUUA